This is a long non-coding RNA of Oncorhynchus kisutch (coho salmon), 732 nucleotides long. RefSeq lists it as uncharacterized. NCBI's taxonomy places the organism in Eukaryota, Metazoa, Chordata, Actinopteri, Salmoniformes, Salmonidae. The transcript has 2 exons. The record is from RefSeq and is a predicted model, not a curated record.
UGUAGUAGAGUUAAAAUGGUUAUUCCAUCAAACUUCAAAUUAUUAGAAUAGUACACAAAGCAAACAGAACGACCAGGUUGAGGGUCAGUGGCCAAAGCCCGUGAACAGGAAUAUUCCAAGUUCAGACAGAAGGGGGGAGUCAGAUCGCUAUGAUCGCCAGGAACUUCUUUUUUGGUUUCUAUUCUUAAUUGUUGCGCUACUGGUGCUGCCUGUUGAUGUUAGGUAGGCAGCUACAGUAGCUGAAUGUUGUUAACAUCUUCGGGUUUUGUUUCAUUAAAUGUAUUUUAUUUCAUCUGGGUGUUUGUGUCACCUACUAACACCCUGGUACUACCCGUAGCUCCCGUUCUCCUCAGUCCGAGAAAACACUGAGAAAGGUAUGUGUUGCAGAAUACUCCUUUGUAGAAGUCCAUAACGUGAAAUAAAUAAAUCAUCCCAAGAACAACUUGUCAGAUGGUGCAUUGGAUACUGAUGUGUUCCUGUCCUGUCUUUUCACAAUACUAUUGCAGGUAUGGUUCUAUUGUCUAAGAAUUAAGAUUAUACAUACUUUGUAUUAAGGAUUGGUUAUUAUUUUAUAGUAUACAUUAUGGCUUUAUGUAUGAGUGUGAUUGUGUGAGUCCGAGAAAACACUGAAAGAGAAAGAACAACGUGUCAGAUGGUGCAUUGGAGACUGAUGUGUUCCUGUCCUGUCUUUUCACAAUACUAUUGCAGAUCAACAUAAAAGCCUAAAAGACA